Molecule: transfer RNA, 111 nt
Filed under: Sporisorium reilianum SRZ2
Lineage: Eukaryota; Fungi; Basidiomycota; Ustilaginomycetes; Ustilaginales; Ustilaginaceae
Description: tRNA-Trp for anticodon CCA
Rfam family: tRNA
About the family: Transfer RNA (tRNA) molecules are approximately 80 nucleotides in length. Their secondary structure includes four short double-helical elements and three loops (D, anti-codon, and T loops).
Source: RNAcentral
GGCCCUAUAGCUCAGCGGUAGAGCGUCGGCUUCCAGUUUCUUUGGCUUGAACAUAUCGGCCUGCUCGCUGUGCCAUUCCGAAGGUUGUCCGUUCGAAUCGGGCUGGGGUCA